This 302-nucleotide ribosomal RNA is filed under the name uncultured bacterium. RNAcentral's name for it is "partial 16S ribosomal RNA". It matches the Rfam family "Bacterial small subunit ribosomal RNA", at positions 355 to 649 of the family's 1533-position model. The record is from RNAcentral.
UAGGGAAUCUUCCACAAUGGACGCAAGUCUGAUGGAGCAACGCCGCGUGAGUGAAGAAGGCUUUCGGGUCGUAAAACUCUGUUAUUGAAGAAGAACGUGCGUGACAGUAACUGGUCAUGCAGUGACGGUAUUCAAUCAGAAAGUCACGGCUAACUACGUGCCAGCAGCCGCGGUAAUACGUAGGUGGCAAGCGUUGUCCGGAUUUAUUGGGCGUAAAGCGAGUGCAGGCGGUCUUUUAAGUCUGAUGUGAAAGCCUUCGGCUUAACCGAAGAAGGGCAUCGGAAACUGGGAGACUUGAGUGC